This 253-nucleotide ribosomal RNA is filed under the name uncultured bacterium. RNAcentral describes it as "partial 16S ribosomal RNA". It matches the Rfam family "Bacterial small subunit ribosomal RNA", at positions 524 to 776 of the family's 1533-position model. The record is from RNAcentral.
AACGUAGGAGGCAAGCGUUAUCCGGAGUUACUGGGCGUAAAGAGCGUGUAGGCGGCUUGUUAAGUUGCGUGUGAAAGCACCCGGCUCAACUGGGUGAGGACAGGCAAGACUGGCAGGCUCGAGGCCGAUAGAGGGGUGCGGAAUUCCGGGUGUAGCGGUGAAAUGUGUAGAGAUCCGGAGGAACACCAGUGGUGCCGACGGCGCCCUGGAUCGGACCUGACGCUGAGACGCGAAAGCGUGGGGAGCGAACGGG